GAGUUUGAUCGUGGCUCAGAUUGAACGCUGGCGGCAUGCCUUACACAUGCAAGUCGAACGGCAGCACGGGAGCUUGCUCCUGGUGGCGAGUGGCGAACGGGUGAGUAAUGCAUCGGAACGUAUCCUGGAGUGGGGGAUAACGUAGCGAAAGUUACGCUAAUACCGCAUAUUCUGUGAGCAGGAAAGCGGGGGACCUUCGGGCCUCGCGCUCUUGGAGCGGCCGAUGUCGGAUUAGCUAGUUGGUGAGGUAAAGGCUCACCAAGGCGACGAUCCGUAGCAGGUCUGAGAGGAUGAUCUGCCACACUGGAACUGAGACACGGUCCAGACUCCUACGGGAGGCAGCAGUGGGGAAUUUUGGACAAUGGGGCAACCCUGAUCCAGCCAUGCCGCGUGAGUGAAGAAGGCCUCGGUUGUAAG
RNAcentral lists this ribosomal RNA (417 nucleotides) under bacterium enrichment culture clone ALO1_GLFRUDD03G8JFA. RNAcentral's name for it is "bacterial SSU rRNA". It matches the Rfam family "Bacterial small subunit ribosomal RNA", at positions 9 to 429 of the family's 1533-position model. The record is from RNAcentral.